Molecule: small RNA, 75 nt
Filed under: Xanthomonas hortorum
Lineage: Bacteria; Pseudomonadati; Pseudomonadota; Gammaproteobacteria; Lysobacterales; Lysobacteraceae
Also listed under: 2 other names
Description: sX9 sRNA
Rfam family: Xanthomonas sRNA sX9
Source: RNAcentral
AUGUACCACUCGUACACUCCGGUUCCUGCGCGCCGCCCGCAGCCACCUAACGACCGCUCGCUACGUUUGUUAGCC